AUGGCAAAAAUCCACGUUGAUGGGGGUCUGGAGCGAGUUGGGAAUGGAGGAUCAUCAGCAGCAUUGUGCCGGGACCAGGAUGGCACCUACCUGGGCUCUUCGGCGAUGGUUUUCAGCGAUAUUCAUGACCCGGCGACACUAGAAGUUCUUGCAUGCAGAGAAGCUAUGGCACUUGCGCAAGAUCUCUCUUUAAGAAGAAUAGUUAUCGCUUGUGAUUGCAAAACAAUGGUGGAAGAGAUUCAUAAGGGAUCGGCUGGCUCUUACAGUGUGAUCAUUAAGGAGAUUGAAGCUUCAGCAAGGGAUCUUGAUAGUUGCGUUUUUAUUUUUGAAAGUCGUGUUUUGAAUUUUGAGGCUCAUAGUUUGGCCAAGUUUUCUUCGUCUCUAGCAGUGGGUCGCCAUGUAUGGCUGGGCUUACCCCAUGACCCGUUUGCAAUUCCUGUAAACCGAACCACAUCUUAA
Molecule: ribosomal RNA, 459 nt
Filed under: Triticum aestivum (bread wheat)
Lineage: Eukaryota; Viridiplantae; Streptophyta; Magnoliopsida; Poales; Poaceae
Description: partial small subunit ribosomal RNA
Source: RNAcentral